This 200-nucleotide ribosomal RNA is filed under the name uncultured organism. RNAcentral's name for it is "partial small subunit ribosomal RNA". It matches the Rfam family "Bacterial small subunit ribosomal RNA", at positions 1183 to 1382 of the family's 1533-position model. The record is from RNAcentral.
CGUCAGGUCCUCAUGGCCCUUAUGGGUAGGGCUACACACGUCAUACAAUGGCCGGUACAGAGGGCAGCCAACCCGCGAGGGGGAGCCAAUCCCAGAAAGCCGGUCGUAGUCCGGAUCGCAGUCUGCAACUCGACUGCGUGAAGUCGGAAUCGCUAGUAAUCGCGGAUCAGCAUGUCGCGGUGAAUACGUUCCCGGGUCUU